This 21-nucleotide non-coding RNA is filed under the name Arabidopsis thaliana (thale cress). The record is from RNAcentral. Lineage: Eukaryota; Viridiplantae; Streptophyta; Magnoliopsida; Brassicales; Brassicaceae.
CAGCUCGUUUCUAAACGCUGG